GGCCGGGUGGUGUAGUGAUCAUCACAUCAGUCUCCCACGCUGAAAAUCACGAGUUCGAACCUCGUUCCGGUCA
Xylariales sp. AK1849 is the source of this 73-nucleotide non-coding RNA. Lineage: Eukaryota; Fungi; Ascomycota; Sordariomycetes; Xylariales. The record is from the annotation of a GenBank genome assembly.